Molecule: ribosomal RNA, 468 nt
Filed under: uncultured bacterium
Lineage: Bacteria
Description: partial 16S ribosomal RNA
Rfam family: Bacterial small subunit ribosomal RNA
Source: RNAcentral
GACGAACGCUGGCGGCGUGCUUAACACAUGCAAGUCGAACGGAAAGGCCCUGCUUUGGUGGUGUGCUCGAAUGGCGAACGGGUGAGUAACACGUGAGUAACCUGCCCUUGGCUAUGGGAUCACUUCGAGAAGGUGGAGCUAAUACCAGAUAGGAGCUCCUGCUGCAUGGUGGGGCUGGGAAAGGUUCGGCGGUUGGGGAUGGACUCGCGGCUGAUCAGCUUGUGGGUGGGGAAGUGGCUUACCAAGGCUUUGACGCGUAGCCGGACUGAUAGGGUGAGCGGCACGAUUGGGAUGGGGCUGAGGCCCGGACCACUCCGGGAGGCGGCGCUGGGGAAUGUUGCACUAUGGGCGGAAGGCUGAUGUAGCAAAGCGGCGUGGCGGAUGAGGGCAAUCGGGUUGUAAACCGCUUCCGUCUGUGACGAAGCGUGAGUGACGGUAAUGGGUAAAGAAGCCCCGGCUAACUACGUG